CUACGGGACGCUGCAGUGAGGAAUAUUGCACAAUGGGGGAAACCCUGAUGCAGCAACGCCGCGUGGAGGAUGACGCAUUUCGGUGUGUAAACUCCUUUUAUGAGUCAAGAAAAUGACGGUAGCUCAUGAAUAAGCACCGGCUAACUCCGUGCCAGCAGCCGCGGUAAUACGGAGGGUGCAAGCGUUACUCGGAAUCACUGGGCGGAAAGGACGCGUAGGCGGGAUGUCAAGGCAGGUGUGAAAUCCUAUGGCUCAACCAUAGAACUGCACUUGAAACUGGCAACCUAGAGUAUGGGAGGGGGAGAUGGAAUUAGUGGUGUAGGGGUAAAAUCCGUAGAUAUCACUAGGAAUACCGAAAGCGAAGGCGAUCUCCUGGAACAUUACUGACGCUAAGGCGUGAAAGCGUGGGGAGCAAACAGGAUUAGAUACCCGCGUAGUC
This 439-nucleotide ribosomal RNA is filed under the name uncultured bacterium. Its description in RNAcentral is "partial 16S ribosomal RNA". It matches the Rfam family "Bacterial small subunit ribosomal RNA", at positions 339 to 795 of the family's 1533-position model. The record is from RNAcentral.